This 468-nucleotide ribosomal RNA is filed under the name uncultured bacterium. Its description in RNAcentral is "partial 16S ribosomal RNA". It matches the Rfam family "Bacterial small subunit ribosomal RNA", at positions 28 to 507 of the family's 1533-position model. The record is from RNAcentral.
GACGAACGCUGGCGGCGUGCUUAACGCAUGCAAGUCGAACGGAAAGGCCCGGCCUUUGUGGGGUGCUCGAGUGGCGAACGGGUGAGUAACACGUGAGUAACCUGCCCCUGACUUUGGGAUAACUUCAGGAAACUGGGGCUAAUACCGGAUAGGAGCUCCUGCUGCAUGGUGGGGGUUGGAAAGUUUCGGCGGUUGGGGAUGGACUCGCGGCUUAUCAGCUUGUUGGUGGGGUAGUGGCUUACCAAGGCUUUGACGGGUAGCCGGCCUGAGAGGGUGACCGGCCACAUUGGGACUGAGAUACGGCACAGACUCCUACGGGAGGCAGCAGUGGGGAAUAUUGCACAAUGGGCGGAAGCCUGAUGCAGCAACGCCGCGUGCGGGAUGACGGCCUUCGGGUUGUAAACCGCUUUCGCCUGUGACGAAGCGUGAGUGACGGUACUGGGUAAAGAAGCACCGGCUAACUACGUG